CAACCCUAUGCGGUGGAUCACUUGGCUCGCGAGUCGAUGAAGAGCGCAGCAAACUGCGUGAAUUAAUGUGAUUUGCAGGACACAUUGAUCAUCGAUAUUUUGAACGCAUAUUGCGGUUAUGGAUCGCUUCCAUGACCACGCCUGUUUGAGGGUCGGUAUUAAUAU
This 165-nucleotide ribosomal RNA is filed under the name Brachionus calyciflorus. Its description in RNAcentral is "5.8S ribosomal RNA". It matches the Rfam family "5.8S ribosomal RNA". From Rfam's summary of the family: 5.8S ribosomal RNA (5.8S rRNA) is a component of the large subunit of the eukaryotic ribosome. The record is from RNAcentral. Lineage: Eukaryota; Metazoa; Rotifera; Eurotatoria; Ploima; Brachionidae.